AGGAUGAACGCUGGCGGCGUGCCUAACACAUGCAAGUCGAACGAGAAAGUGGAGCAAUCCAUGAGUAAAGUGGCGCACGGGUGAGUAACACGUGACUAACCUACCUUUUAGUGGGGGAUAACCUAGGGAAACCUGGGCUAAUACCGCAUAAUACCUACGGGUCAAAGCAGCAAUGCGCUGGAAGAGGGGGUCGCGGUCGAUUAGUUAGUUGGCAGGGUAAUGGCCUACCAAGACUGUGAUCGAUA
Molecule: ribosomal RNA, 245 nt
Filed under: uncultured bacterium
Lineage: Bacteria
Description: partial small subunit ribosomal RNA
Rfam family: Bacterial small subunit ribosomal RNA
Source: RNAcentral